UCCCAGUAAAGAAAUAUGUACAUGUCUUACUCCCUGCUCUUGCUCCACAGCCUAGAGAGGUGAAGCGACUGGGGCUAGCUAGGGAAAGAGGUGGUUCCGGAGGAGCGAGGGGU
Molecule: small nucleolar RNA, 113 nt
Organism: Octodon degus (degu)
Lineage: Eukaryota; Metazoa; Chordata; Mammalia; Rodentia; Octodontidae
Gene: SNORD22
Rfam family: Small nucleolar RNA SNORD22
About the family: U22 is a member of the C/D class of snoRNA which contain the C (UGAUGA) and D (CUGA) box motifs. U22 is encoded within the U22 snoRNA host gene (UHG) in mammals and has also been identified in Xenopus.
Source: Ensembl